Molecule: small RNA, 138 nt
Filed under: Azotobacter beijerinckii
Lineage: Bacteria; Pseudomonadati; Pseudomonadota; Gammaproteobacteria; Pseudomonadales; Pseudomonadaceae
Source: RNAcentral
GACGCCGAAGGAACGGCGCAGGCCGACCAAGGAUGGCGGGCCAGGGACAGUCGCAGGAUAAGCGGCUACUUCGUCAGGAUGACGAGCCCUGGGAAAGGUGAUGACACAAAACGGCGAGGCUAAUCCCUCGCCGUUUUU